Molecule: long non-coding RNA, 12611 nt
Organism: Numida meleagris (helmeted guineafowl)
Lineage: Eukaryota; Metazoa; Chordata; Aves; Galliformes; Numididae
Exons: 3
Source: RefSeq, a predicted model, not a curated record
AGGGAUGACGGGCGGGUGCGGGGACCAAUAGGAGCGAGGCGGGCGCUGAACGCCGUUCAAACGCCGUCGGGCGCCGCGCGGUGCGUGGGGUCGCUCCGCCCGGCGGGGUCAGGUGAGCGGGGCGCCGCGCUGCUCGGUCCCGGUGCAGCCCCGCGGGCACCGAGCCCCGGUGUGAGGGCACCGAGCCCCGGCUCAGUGGCACGCUCCGUGAAACCUCCGUACACACCGCGCCCCCCAGCUCCGGGCUCAGCCCCUACUCUGCACGCUCAACCCCUUUGCGCGCUCUGAGCGUUGGCUGCUGCUCCGGACGGGCUCCAAUCCCGUCGCUUUUUCCCCCAAAUCGGGAGCAGGGCCGCGUGUGGGGCGUGACUAAUCAAGGGCUGCUCAUUAAGGGCUCCUGCCCUCCUCCCUCUAGCCAGCUGAGGGGUCCUGUUCUAAAGGGCAUCCGAUGAGGAGAGAGGCUUCCCUCCCUUACUGCUCUCAGCUGUGCGAGAUGGGCUGAACGACACUGAGCGUCGCUGAACUUCUGUUGGAUCCUCUUGCUCUGUCUUCCUCAUCUGCGAAAUGAAAAAUAAUCGCAGUCCUUCCCAGAGGUGGCUGACAGAAAGAAAACAGGUUUGUUAUGAAAGCACCGGGUCCAGCCUGCCCUGCUCUGUUACCUGGGAAGCUGUGAAGGAGGCGGCUGUGGUUCAUGGGGAGGCUGCAGCUGGAGGCGUUGGCUCAGAGAUGUGCAAGGAGCACCGGGGCUCUGCAUGGCACAGCAGGUUUGGUGCGGCGUUGGUCCAGGUGUUCCUCCCCACCAAAGGCCUUGAAGAGGAUGAGCUGCCUCCGUGUGUUGCAGCCCAGGCUGGGUAUUGGUUGUGCAAUGCAGAGAGCAUCUUGUGCCUCUGUGCUGGUCUGCGCCCUGCUUCUUCCUUGGCACCUGGAGUAAGAGUGAAAUUCAAAUGCACAAAGAGGAAUCCAUGUGAGGCACCCUAGGGGCAUGCUUUGCCACUGAGAUGUCUCAUGGGGCAGGUGGCAGGGCUGCUUUGUGCCCCGGUGCUGCUAUCAGGCACAUUGCUGUGCCCUCGGUCAGUGCCUGGCUCAGGGUGCCCUGACUGUGGGUGCUGCACCUUGGGCACUAAUGCAGUGGGAAGACAACAGGAUUUCCUUCUGAAGCCUGACACCCAGGACUUUCCCCACUCAUUAGGACUGAAGAUCAAAAAAAAAAAAAGAGCAGGAACGGCUGGUGAGGGCAUGUCAAGGAGGCAGAAUUGGGAAAGGGAGUGCUCAGUGCGUGUCUCCAGCCGGCUCUGACUCACCAACACGUGCAGGUACAGCCCCGCUGCCGGCUGCAGCUGGGUUUUGAGUUGAGCCUUGCUCACCAGAAAAGCCAAGAGGGUUUGCAGAGACAGGAGGGAAGCACAGGAAAGGGAGCAGCGAUUGCAGCUGGCUCCUGUUUGCUUUGCAUGGCCCCAGUUUGUGUCGUCCCCCUCUCUUGCCCCUUACAAGUUGCACCCCCCAGGAAAGGGCCUAACUUUGGUGAAUUGAGAGCUGGGAUCUGGCCCCACUGCUGGCAGGUUUCAGGAUUAGGCUGCCUCCAACACCAAAGCCUCACUCCAUCUGCCAGACAGCACCCCAAGGGGCGGGCGUGGAGCUGGGGCUCUGCCGCAGAAGUAGGAUGGGAACAUGUUCUGGUCCUGCCUGUCUGGUUUAGUGCUCCUGGCUGGGGCUUGGGUGCUCCAAAGGGGAGCUUGGUCUGAGAUGCGAGGCUGUGACUUAUUAUAAUUCAAAACUUCUAAAGCUGCAGAGCUGUAACUUGGGCCCAGAUUCACCUGAUAGCCCCAGUCUGCCAUGGCUGGAGCAGCGGGCACAGGAUUGGAUGCGAUGCUGUAGGUUUGAAGUCAGAGCAGUGGAAGGGUGAAGCUGGUUGCCUUGGUCACCCCCAGAUCACGACUCCAUUCCUUUUCUUUGGUAUGGCGUGUACUCAUCUUUCUGGAGAGCAAUGGGCAUUUUGUGAGGCUGUGCACAGCCAGACAGGUCCUACCAGCAAUGGGGGACCUGCUCGGUCUGUUUGUCCUUCGCUGCUGCAGUAAGGUGCACAAAGCAAAAUUCCAGCCCCUGGUACCUUCCUUUAUCCCGUCCCACUGGGGCAGGCACCCCUGCAUUGCCGCCCUCACCAUGAGUGACCCUACCAGGAGAAGGGUCCUUGUCCUCAGGAGAACAAGUGGUUGGGCCACCACCCGCUGCAGCGGUGUCAGCUGGGGUUUGUCUUCACCUCACCUCCUUCCCGGCCACGCGUGGCCACCACAAAUCCUUGCCCACUUGUUGCAGGCAGAGUGGGGGUUGGCCUCAUGUUUUUGCCCCUCUGAAUGUCACAGUUCACCUCUCUUUGGGGAAUUUGCAGCCUUCUUCAGAGCAGAGAGAGUGCCUGGUGCUGCCCUUGGUACUGCGGCGGUGCCAGAUGCGGAGGGCUGCAGAGCAGCGCUGAGAGCUCCUAGCUCCCAUCCUCCUGGCAUAGGUACGUGCCUACCAGAGGGGAACGGUGAGCUUUGCUCUUCUUCUUGAUCCCGGAGCUGUGAACCAUGGAGUAAUGCAGGGAGGGAUGUGGGUGUUCUACCAACAGGGUGCAACAAAUGUGCUGGGUCCUGGUGUGAUACCCACCUGUGCUUUGUGUGUCUGCAUGCAAUGGGAGGCUGCUCUGCAAGUGCUGUGUAGGCAACUGCUGUCCCUGUGCUUAUGUGUGUUGCUUUGGGUGGAGUGGAGCCUGGUCCAUGCUGCCGGCAUAUGGCACAAGAGAGAGCUUGGCAGAUGGGCUGAAAUGGAAAGGGUCUUUUCCAAAGCAGCUGUUGAUGGAAAUGAGCCUUGCACAGUUCUGGGGUGGGUUUGAGGGUACAGGGUUGGGGAUGAUGCGUGUGGUGGAUGCUGAAUUUAGGAGAGCACCGUUUUGUUGAUGAUCUCCUUGCCCUGUGCACGAUAUCCACAGUUCACACCCUGGUCCUGGCUGUAUCUAUGAGCUUUGUGGUGUGUCUAUCUGUGCCCAUGCAAGGGAGGAGAUUCUUCCCCCCCAAGAUCCUCUUGCAUCCUUGAGACCUUUAAUGUUUCAUGCUGUCUAAACCAGUCCCUUCAGGGAAGGAGAUGGUUAAUUAGUGCUUUUUCCCCCCUCAAUGCCUGUGUUUCCCAGACCCCACUGGCUGGUGACCCCUCUGCGAGGUGUCUGUGGAGCUUGUUAUCUGUCCUGCACAGAUUACCCUGGUGGGAAGGGGAGGUGAUGCUGCAGAGGCUCCAGCUCACACUGUGAGUAUCUGCCAAGCUAUGGGAGUUCUUCCCACUCUGGUCUGGCUUGUGGAGGUGUUGGGGUUGUUCCUCGCUUCUGCCCUGAUCCUGAACGAGGUGGGGCAGUGUCCCCAAGCAGUGUUGGUCCUGAGAUGGUGCAGGACCUGGAGAGGUUGGCUGCUCAAAGCAGAAGGGGUGGAAGCAGCCUUCACCAUGGCAGCACCAGCAAACAAGGGGGAUCCUUAGAAGCGUUUAGGGCCUUCCCUCUGUUUCUCUGGGGGUUAUUCUCUCCUAAUGUCCCAAGGAGCUCAGAUUAUUGCAGCUGGGCUCUACCUGAAGCUAUAAUCCCAUUGAGGGGAAAAACUCACCCUGAGCCCCCUGCCACAUGAAAGGGAAUGGAGGGGAAGGUGGGGAGAUGGUGCUCCUCUUGCCAAGGGAAGGAAGAGGAGACUGCCCCUGAAGGUGAAGGAGCGCCAGGCUUGCCAGCAGACUGGCUGCCAUGCUUCUCUGUGCUGACGUGGAAGGGAAGCAGCUCUGCUCAUGCCAGGAGAGGUGGUGUACUGGGAGAGGAAUGCUCCAGGGUUAACCUCCUCCCGUGGUGCCUCCCGUGGCUGGGACAGAUCUGCCUCCUGCAGCUGGGGCGAGGGGAGGGAAGGAGGAAGGUCUUUGUGCAAUUGUUCAUAGAGAUCCAGUGUGAAAGGAGUGGGAUCACAAGGAUGCAGAGCAGGGCAUCUCCAAGGGGAAUCUGUGCACUACCUGUUCUGGGGCUUCAGGCGCUGAGCCCAGUGCUGCUGUGAUGCAGGGCUGUGUCCCUCAAAUCCCCCUUCCCUCUCCCCGUGGCUGAAGGUCUGCAGUAAAACUGAAAAAGCCCUCAUCCUAGAACUGCACCUUCUGCCAACUUCUCUUAUCAGACCCGUGCUUCUGCCUAGAGCCAGUAGCUGCAGGGAUGGAGAUGGGGGAACAGACUGCUGUUAAGCUGCUCUCUUGCCUGCAGCCUGUUUGCAUUCAUGAUUGCAUCCGUGCAUUAAAGUGCUCUGAGCUCCUCGUUACCAAAGUGCGGACUCUGAGUUUUAACGAGCCACUCGUGGGAGUUGGGACCAGGAGAGACAGAACGCCGUCCUGCUGAACCGAGGCAGAGCCUGACAACAGGCACCGCUGCCUGGAAACGGUGGGCAAAGGCUUUAUUGACCACUGGAGGUCACUUUUUCAAUAAUGCAGUACAAUCCAACUUUAUUUUGUCAGUACCUUUCAUGCAGGCUGCUCCCGAGCUGCUCAGCAGAUGCAGCGCAACGGGAGGGGAGAAACAGCGGUUUUCUUCCAGCUGGGGAGAUGGAGGCUGCUCGGCAGCACCGGGUGCAAAGCAGAAGGCUCUUGUGCUUUGGUGGAGAGCUACAGGGGAGGAGAGGAGCAGCAAAUGAAGCAGCCUGGCUGCUGCUGCUGCCGCUCCCUGUGCUGCAAAGGCACCUUCAGGCUCUUCAAAAGCAAAUGAGCCUUUUUGGCCCUGGGGUGGCUGGGGGAAGGCAGGAGGGUGCUGGGGUGGACAGCCAACGUCCCUCAGCUGGAGAGAGGCUGAAGUGGGGGCCCUGCAGUGGGGUGGAUGGGUACCCAGCUAACUGUGUCUGGGUGCUUCUCUUAGAGGUUCAGGAACAUUGUGACUUGAGGUGGUGAAAGAGCUGGGAUGUGGGCAGGGUCCGAGCAUUUGAGGGGCAGGAAAUUGUGCCUGAAUUGCACUCCUUUGCUCCCUGCGUGGUGCUGGGCUGUUCCUGGGAGGGGGCUGCCCCUGGAUGGGGCAAACAGCCAUCAGGAGCUGGGGAUGGGGGCUGUGCAGAGAAAGUCAUUUGCAGGACCCCCCCAGAAUCCCCUGCAGGAGGGAGCAGGGGCAUCUGGGGCUGUGUGGAGCCGGUGGCUGCUGCUGUUGCAACUAUACUGGGGGACUUCUGCAGCAAAACCCAUUAAAAAGCCCUCGCUAAGGAGUCGGCAGCAAUGGCUGAUGCAGGAGCUCUUCUGUUGCAUUGUGUGCUCCCCUUGCAUGAUGACGCAUGGUUUGCAAGUCUGGAACUGCUGAUAGGAACAGACCAGUGGGCUUGGAAGGAGCUUUGAGGGCCACAUUCAGAGUCUCGAGGUCUUUCCUGUUCAGAGCUGUGCAGGACACGAGCUCAUUUGGUGUGCGCGUCCUUCUGUCCCUCUGAUGUGUGCUCCAUAAGCCCCACUUCUCACUGCUUGUUCAGAUGCUGCUGUGUCCACCGUCACCGAAAGGAAUGGAUUCCGUCUUUUAGCUAGCUUGCUCUAUCACUCCCCUUUGAGAAGUGGGAAAGGAAUAACCUGUUUCUUCUACUCCUCACAUUUGAAUGGGAACGUCAGUGUUGCACUUAGAGCAGGGACGUGCUGCACGCAGGCACCGCCACGUGCGAGGGCUGUGAGAGCUUAACUGCUGCAGCAGAUGGGACUUGGAAGCCACGUCGGAGCAAAUAUUUGAAGAUCCAGUUUUAUAAAGCCACUUUUUGGCCUAUAAACCGCCCGCCCCACGGCUCCUGGUGCUGUUUGCUGUUCCUGCUGCUCCGCCGCGCUCCCGUCCGGUGAGACGUGCUGCGUGUGCUUGGCACGGGGUUCUUCUCCUUUUCCCCAGCCUCGGUGCUUUGUUUUAUGCAUUGCUUUGUUUGUUGAUGGGAUUUUCCUUCUCUCAGCAGAGUGGGAUGGGAAGUGACUGCUACUGACCCUAUGGGGUUCCUGGGCUCAGGCAGACCCCCAGGCUGGCGAUGCGCCCAUCCUGGUGGAUGUCUUCCCGCUGACUCUAACAAGUCUCCAUGAGAGGCUGGGAUCCCACGUCCCCUUUCUCUCCACGACACAUCAGGUCCCAGCAAUGAUCCUCAUCCAUCUGUACGGCGCGGAGCGGGCUCUGGUUUGUGCUUCCCUUCCUGCAUUGCCUUUCAGCCUUGGGACCCGCAGAGCCAAGCACUGAUGUGUCCGCUAACACAGGCAGCUCCGCUCCUGAUCAAGCGAAAGAAAAAUAAUUAGCCCCUCGGAUUGCAGCCUGGAUGCAGCGGGCCGGAUUCCUGCUCUCUGCCUCAAGGUUGUGACUUCUCGCUUGCAUCCGCUGUGAGAGCACGAUGAUGAUGGGGCACCGGGACUUUUUGGGAUAGACCCAAUGUAAUCUCCCCGUGCUUCCAUUUCCACCUCGUACAAAAUCCUGCUCCACCUCUCCCAGGAGACCUGCAGUGCUGCGCGGCGCUGUCUCUGCGGUGCUUUGAGAUCCGCAGAUGCGAGUGGUUCCUGAAGCUCUGAAUAGCACUGAACUCCCUCUGCAGUGGAAUUCCAAAGCCAGGGGAAACUAUUCACGACUGUUAAGAAAAAGCCGUGUUGGUGUGUUGGUUGAACCCAGCGUUACGCCCUCUAAUUAUGUAGUGGUGGCCCUGGCUGCUGGAGCGACUGGUGACAACGGGAUGGUUGCGCUCGGCUGGAGGGAGCGGGGCUGAGAUUUGGUGCCUGAUGAGAUCAAGGGGCCUUUGAUUUCAAUGGGCAUUGAACCAGGCACUGCCAUAUCAAACGGGCUGAUCAGAUAAUAAGUGCAGCUCUUCUGGCAUAGAUUCCCGCCGCCGCGUUGGGGCAGGCAGUGCAAAUUGGGCAGCCAGAGGAGUGAGCAGGCAUGCCAAAUUGUUCCUAAUGAAACGGGAUGUCCCGCAGCAGGACGAUGCAAAGUGGUUGUGCGUCUGGGGUGCCGUGUGGGUCACCUCCAGGCUGGGAUGUGUCCUCUCCCACCUUGUUCCUGGGCAGGAGGGUGGCUGGAGGAGCUGCCAAGGGAGAGGGAUUGAUGGGGUGAUCUUGAAUCCUUAAUCUCAUGUUUCAGGGCUUCUCCAGGCGUUCUGCAGGGAAAGAUGAUUAUUUUUUUCUUUGCAGCCUUCGGUGUAGCAAUCAGGCACCUGAAAUUGUUUCUGCUGUCUUCUAAACGGGGAGAUUGGGCACAGCAAGAGGCGUGCUGUGAAGGGAGGGGUGUGCUGGUGCUCCUCGGGGAUGCCGCAGCCUCAGGAUGCUGUUUGGGGGAUCCUCGAGCCUUCUGAUCCCAAACUUGGCUGUGUUGGCAGGAGCCCUGUUCUGCAGCGUGGGCCACGGUCACUUUCCCAGCAUCCUUGGGGGACGUCGCCCUGCUCCUGCAGGCACACGAGAUGUUUGCAGCAUCCUUGAUCUCUCCUGCUCUUCACCCGGGGCUCAUCAGCACUGCAGUUCAUGGUCCUUUUUGUUCAUUUGGGAGCACCCGUUGGCGAGGUGCAGUGCAUAUCUGCAGGGAUUGCUGUUGCGCCGGGGGUGCUCUGCUGUCCUUGUCCAGCAGUUGGGUUUUAAGCCAUAAGCUCCCGUUCUGAAGCUUGUUUUGUUUUGUUUCCCCGUGGUUAGGGAAAAUGGCAGCGACUGCGCAUGAUGUCUAAGCAGAGUGCACCCAUCCCGCCCCACCGCCGCGCUCUGUGGCUGCAGGAAUGUUAUCUCUGAUGUCUCCACCUGCCCCCAUAAACUUGGCUGGAAGUGGGUCAGUAGGUUUAGAAGUUCUACGGAGAUAUGUAUCAGCCUCAUACCUUAAAAGAAGCUGAGUGAAGUCAAAUCCAAAGCAACAAUGAAAACUUGGAGAGGAACGGAGGGAAGAGGCAGUGGAUUAGCAGACAGAGAAAUCCCCGUGGGCCCUAUUGAGUGUUUUGCCAGUGUUAAGCACUGAGUAAAAUAUAGUGCUGGAGAGAUCAGAUCGCUGGGUAUUCCCUUUGGACGGGGAGAUCCUGGGUUGAAUACUUCUUUGGUGAAUCAUCUUCUGGAGCUAUCAGCACAGGGAUCUGGCACGAGGCUCUCACUGCAGGAUGUGGCAUUGCUCGCAGGCUGAAACUGCUUGGAGAAGGCACGCAAAUGGCACCAUGCAGCUCUCUGCUGCUAAAGCUCUGGAUGCUUGGAUACAACAUGUGGGAUGCCCUGAACACCCAGAGCUGGGGCUGAUAGCACGGAGUGCAACCAGAGGGUUUCUGCUGCUCUCUGCAGCAGAACAUGGGGGAGAACACCCACAAAACCUGCUUCACCAAAGCAUCACCUGAGCUUGGAAUGCCUGUCACAAGGCUCUUCUGAGACUUGAGCUGCUAGAUCCUCCUCUGUGAACAGAGACAUGGGUGACUGGCAGACUAAAAGACACAGGAGAUCAAGACAAAGGGAAGAACCAAUUGUUAAGUGACCCAAAUGAAAGAUGCACGUGUGGCACAGGGAGGUGUUGGGCCAACAGAGGAGAAGUCCUUCGAGGAAAGACUCCAAAGGAGACAGUCCAGUUAGAUUUUUGCUUGGCUUUUUCCUUUCAUCUAUCAAAGAGAUACUUCCAAAGUGAGGAGCAGACACCUGAGGGAGCACAGGGGCCAGCUUCGUUUGCAAGGAAAGCACGAUGGGUGGUUGAGGGCUGUGUGUGUGACCUUCGGUGUGUUGUGCCCAUGGGUUGUCCUCUCCCUGGAGUCAGGCAGAGGAACGUGCUCCCUUUUUUGGGAGCUGCCUGUCAGCUGUAGCUGGGCCUGGGGACAUCUUGGCUGCGUCCUUCGUUUGGGAUUGAGGAGCAGCCGACAAUCUGUGUGGAUAGCAUGAGAGCUGCUAAUGCUGUGUCUGAAAAUCUGCAGAGUUGCUGGGAGGGGGAAUGGGUUUAAAGUUGUAUUUCCUCCAAUAAAUCAGCACAGCCUGGGCCUCCCCACCCCCAUCGGCACCUGUGUGCAUGUGUUGGAGAGAAAAUCCAAAAGAACGUGAGGACUCUGCGUUACUGCUCCCUGCUCAGGGCUGUCCAGCCUCGCACCAGGGCAAGUGUUGCUUAAACACCAAUAAUGUUGUCUACAGCAGGAAGCAGAGCAGGGCUCAUCCGCACUGGGCUGCUCUGCUACUUCUGUGCUCCGAGUACAAACAGCAAGCUGUUCCUGCGCGUGGGCUCCCGGCGCUGCCAGCAAAGCUAUUCUCAUGCAGGAGAGAAAAACGAGCUGUGCAAAAAGCAGGCAUGUCUCGUAUCGCUAAGCAUCACUCACCAUGUCAGGCGGUACACGGUGGCACCGCUGCACGGGGCUGGUGUGGGUUCGAUGUGCUGGAUGUGGCAACCCCAGUGCUGCCUGUGGGGUUGGCAGGGAAUUACCCCAACUGGUGUGGCUAAAUCGUGGAAUCUCAGAAUCAUUUCAGUCGAAAGGGAUCCUUAAAGGCCGUCUGGUCCAACUCCCUGCAGUGCUCGGGGACACCCACAGCUCCAUCAGUGCUUAGAGCCCCGUCCAGUUCUGACCUUGGAUGUCUGCAGGUACAGGGCACUGCCACCUCUCUGGGCAAUUGGUCAGAGUGGUCCUGGUGGGAUGCUGCAGCAACAACAGCAGGAGCAAAGUGGGUCGCAAUGAUGAGACACAAUGAAGGACACAGCCCCUUGUAGCGCUGAUAUCGGAAGCGAUGUCCCGCUGCUGCUCCCAAGGCAUUUUCAGCCCUUCUGGCCCAGCAUUGACCGUGGUUUAGAGGACUUAGGUUGCUUUUUGGGCUUCUUUAUUCUCUAACUUUUUUUCUUGGGAGGUGCUUGAAGCUUGCUGAGGAUGCUGCACAAGGAAGGGAAAUGUUUCAACCCUUUGCUUGCAUUUUUCAGGGGGAAACUCUUGGGACUUUCAAAAGCAACACUGACGCUGACCUGCUGGAAAAUUUCAGCUGCUGGUGGAGGUGGCUGCGUGUUGAGCUGCGUCUGGGCAGGGGAUGCCGGAGCAGCUCAGCACCAUUUCUCAAGGGCUCUGUUUUUUGGCAGAGCCAAGCUGAUGGGACGCUGAGCUGUAGGAGGGCUGGAUUGUCCCCGAGCACUCCCCAGGUGCCGCUAUCUCCUGGUGAUCUGUGAUCUGCUCAAGUGUGUCCGCCUGGAUGGCAGCCUGGGCUGGGACACACUCCUGGUGGCUUGUGGGGUUUGUGUGUGUCCUGCAAUCCCUGGGCCCCUCUUGGAGCUGGGAGCUGUAUUGUUCGCCCCCCAGUUCAGCAAGCCAAAAGGAGCCAGCUGGGGCAGUGGGGAGAUUUUAAGCCCUAUCUCUGGGGUGAGAGAGAAGGGCUCAGCUUCCAAGUGCCUCACUGGAAGGGAUCCCAACCAGCUCUGCCUUGCUGGGACAGACCCCUCCUCUCUUUUCCUUCCCACUCAGGGGCUGUAGGGUGCUCGGUCCCUCGUGCUCUGCUUUAUGCUGGGGAGCCAGACAGGACAGCCCAGCAGCUCCCAGCCCCAAACAAUGGGGCCAUUGAGGGCUGGAGCCGGGGGCUCUGCCGACUGUGGGCUGCGGAUGGGGAGGACAGCUGAGCUGUGCUUGUUCCAGCUCAGCAGAGUCACAGCCCAAAAUAGGAGCGGUGUGGCCAUUCGGAGGCUGAGCCUCUUUAUCCAGAGGUCUCAGCUUGUUUGCACGUGGGGUGUGCAUGGAGUAUUUAUGUCUUGGAGUAGGGCUGGGGGGAGGAAAUGAAAGAGGAGGGGCUGGCAGUUGUGCAGACUUGUUUUUGUUUUUGUUUGUUUUCUGUGCUAAAAAGGCAUAGAAGUAUUGGUAUUUUUAUCCCCCCACUUUCCCGUAGGUCCAUACGCUUCCCUGCAGACUGGGAGCCCCAGUGAGGCUAGCAUUGUGGCCCAGUGCUGGAGCACUGAGCAGGCGAAGGGGACAAGCAAUGCACCCAAUAACUGGUGAAGCCAGCAAGCUGUCCCCAUUGUACCCCUCUGCUAUCUCCCUGUGCCAUCCUGGUUCCUAAUCUCAGUCUCCUCUGUGUCCGUGGGCUGAGCGUUGGUGCUCACAGGUAGCAUUUUCCCUUCCUCCCGUGCUGAGCCCCCUCUGAUCUGCUUUCCUGGCACAGCAGUGGGUGCAGACUGGCUCUUGCAGACACCAAGCAUCUGCUGUGCCCAGUGCACCCGAAAAUCGCACCUCUUUUGUAUCUGUGUGGGGAUUUAAGGGCUCAGUGUGAGGUGUCUGAAGAGGUGGUCUCGACUGGAGCCUGUUCUGAAUGGCGCUGCCUGAACGGGGCUGUGCCUGCAUCAGGAGAUGUGCAGAAUUAAUGCAAGGUUUGGAUCAGCUCAUUAACUGCCUGUGCUGGUCCAAAUCUUGCCCUUGGAGGUAUGUGUGUUGCUGCCAGUACCAUCAACAUAAAGACUAUCGCCAGCACAGCCGGGGAUGGGAUUUGGCCUGUUUAUAUUCACGGUGCAAAAAGAGCCGAAGGAUUAAUGACUGAUUACUUCUCGGGCCAGCGGGAGCCUCGGGUACCCAUCUCGCGUGCAGCUAAAGCGCAGGGCAGAGCAAGACAAAGCUUUGCAACAGAAUCCUCCCAAUUACCUCACCGCUCUCCCUGCGUGCUGCAAAAUGCACCGUCAGCUCCGCCAGCCAGUGCUCAGCCUGCAGCCAAACACCUCCUGCAUCGCCGCGUCCCCCUCCGCCCCGCGCUGUCCCCAAUUUGGGAUGGUUUGGUGGAGCCCUGCCUGCUCCCUACCUGCCCCUGUGUGCGUCUGAGCAUCCUUUCGUGCCCCCCCCAGCAGAGCCUGCGCGUUGGAUGCAGUUUCUAUGGUUACUGCAGCUCCUGGGCUCUGGGAAGAGCAGUUGGAUGCUGGAGCUGGCAGGACUGGCAUCUCCCUCUGGAUCAGCCAGAAACUUGACAGGGAUCGGUGUGUGGCAGAGCAGGACAAAGAGAGGAGGGGAGAGGGAACGUGAUGAGAAAAACUCGGCUUGCGCCGGGUACUGGGGUUGCCCCCAACAGGUUGUGCUCUGAACAGGCUUCAAAAAGGAAUAGAAAGGGUGGGGAGAAAAAAAAAAAAAAAAGAGAAAACUGCAGUUCUGGUGCUCGCAUGAAGGUGACAUUUGUUGUAGCAUCUCCAGCCGUUGAUACGGGGAUCUGAACACAAGGAAGUUGUAACUGCUGCCAGACUGACUAUUUCUACCCACAUUUUUCUUUUCCCCAACCCUUUUUUCUUCUUGUUUUAUUCUUGUGAUGCUUUUUAUUCUGAUAUUUCCCUCCCUACCCACACAGGUUUCAUCUUUGCUCCUACAUAUCCCUCUUCUGUGGGUUAGGUUAAAAGUUCAAGGCAUGUUCAGUCCUCACCGCACGCAGGUGCCAGUUGGGAACUGAUGUGACUUUUUAGGAGAGUUUUGCCCAUCAGAGCCUUCUCCUGAUGAUGGAUGCAAGCACUGAACUCUGAGCACAGCAUGUGUAGGUGCAAACCCAGCCUGGUGUAUGAAUCUGCGGUUGGGACCUUCCGUCCUCUCAUCUGCCUUGCCUCAAAUUCAGGUUGGUUAUUAGGGAACAUUUCUUCUCAGAAAGAGCGGUGAGGCACUGGCACAGCUGCCCGGGGAGUGGUGGGGUCACCAUCCUGGAGGAGUUCCAGACCUGUGGGGAUG